Molecule: ribosomal RNA, 253 nt
Filed under: uncultured bacterium
Lineage: Bacteria
Description: partial 16S ribosomal RNA
Rfam family: Bacterial small subunit ribosomal RNA
Source: RNAcentral
UACGUAGGUGGCAAGCGUUGUCCGGAUUUACUGGGCGUAAAGAGCGCGCAGGCGGUCGAUCAAGUCGAGUGUGAAAGCCCCCGGCUCAACUGGGGAGGGUCAUUCGAUACUGAUCGACUCGAAGGCAGGAGAGGGUAGUGGAAUUCCCGGUGUAGUGGUGAAAUGCGUAGAUAUCGGGAGGAACACCAGUGGCGAAGGCGGCUACCUGGCCUGUUCUUGACGCUGAGGCGCGAAAGCUAGGGGAGCAAACGGG